AUAGAUACCCGGUAGUCCACGCCGUAAACGAUAGUGCUAAGUGUUAGAGGGUUUCCGCCCUUUAGUGCUGCAGCUAACGCAUUAAGCACUCCGCCUGGGGAGUACGGCCGCAAGGCUGAAACUCAAAGGAAUUGACGGGGGGCCCGCACAAGCGGUGGAGCAUGUGGUUUAAUUCGAAGCAACGCGAAGAACCUUACCAGGUCUUGACAUCCUCUGCCAACCCUAGAGAUAAGGCGUUCCCCUUCGGGGGACAGAGUGACAGGUGGUGCAUGGUUGUCGUCAGCUCGUGUCGUGAGAUGUUGGGUUAAGUCCCGCAACGAGCGCAACCCUUGAUCUUAGUUGCCAGCAUUCAGUUGGGCACUCUAAGGUGACUGCCGGUGACAAACCGGAGGAAGGUGGGGAUGACGUCAAAUCAUCAUGCCCCUUAUGACCUGGGCUACACACGUGCUACAAUGGAUGGUACAAAGAGCUGCGAACCCGCGAGGGUAAGCGAAUCUCAUAAAGCCAUUCUCAGUUCGGAUUGUAGGCUG
RNAcentral lists this ribosomal RNA (530 nucleotides) under uncultured bacterium. RNAcentral describes it as "bacterial SSU rRNA". It matches the Rfam family "Bacterial small subunit ribosomal RNA", at positions 778 to 1307 of the family's 1533-position model. The record is from RNAcentral.